Molecule: ribosomal RNA, 497 nt
Filed under: uncultured bacterium
Lineage: Bacteria
Description: partial 16S ribosomal RNA
Rfam family: Bacterial small subunit ribosomal RNA
Source: RNAcentral
GAUGAACGCUGGCGGCGUGCCUAAUACAUGCAAGUCGAGCGAACAGACGAGGAGUUUGCUCCUCUGACGUUAGCGGCGGACGGGUGAGUAACACGUGGAUAACCUACCUAUAAGACUGGGAUAACUUCGGGAAACCGGAUCUAAUACCGGAUAAUAUAUUGAACCGCAUGGUUCAAUAGUGAAAGACGGUUUUGCUGUGACUUAUAGAUGUAUCCGCGCCGCAUUAGCUAGUUGGUAAGGUAACGGCUUACCAAGGCUACGAUGCGUAGCCGACCUGAGAGGGUGAUCGGCCACACUGGAACUGAGACACGGUCCAGACUCCUACGGGAGGCAGCAGUAGGGAAUCUUCCGCAAUGGGCGAAAGCCUGACGGAGCAACGCCGCGUGAGUGAUGAAGGUCUUCGGAUCGUAAAACUCUGUUAUUAGGGAAGAACAAAUGUGUAAGUAACUAUGCACGUCUUGACGGUACCUAAACAAAAAGCCACGGCUAACUACGUG